UUCAGCCUCUUCUCUCCCCAGCAGGGACAAGUCUGAACGGAUACCAUGUUCAGCAGAGGCUCAUUUUCCAUUUUUCCAUGGCAAAGAAUCUGAGCACUAGACAGGCUUUCUUAUAGACUCGGAACGUGCAGCAACUAAGGGCAAGUGGAAAUUUCCUUUGGUUUACCACCCUCCAUCUCGCUUGCUCCAACAUGUGGAGAACGUGGGUAAUAAGCAUACUCUCCCCUUUAAUCACAGCAUGGCUUGGACAUGCAUUGUUGUGAGGGAACGUGUUUCUCCAAGAGGCUCACACAGUCGGUCUCGCUGGCUACUCUGUCUGGAUCAAUUCAAACACGGAGAAGAAGAUGGAUUAAAACAGUGCUGUGUGGUGAAGGGAGGGGAAAGGCAGAACCUUGGGGACUGUUGGACUUGAGUGUGCCCGAGUACGGUGGAGGGGAAGGCCUUUGUUUUUGCGGACAGCCCUGGGGGGGAAUCAGUAUUUUAUAUCAUGUAUUUUAACGAAGCAGCAAACCGGGUGCAGUCCGGAGCUCGCAGGGAGGAAGCCAGCAAGUGUGAAGCAGACAAGGGGACGAUUCUCCUCAGUUCUCAGCUCUCCUGAUGAUUCUGAAGGCGUUGGAGUGGGCUGUGCCGCCUCUCACCGUGCAUCCUUACAUAAUUCACAACGCUUCAGACUGAUUUCCCUAAAGCAAUCCCCUUUGUGAAGCCCCUGGGUGGAGAGAACCUCUUACCACCCAGAUGCAUCUGUUCUUCUUUUAAGGUGAUAAAGGCAUAGAAACAUAGGA
This is a long non-coding RNA of Peromyscus leucopus (white-footed mouse), 782 nucleotides long. RefSeq lists it as uncharacterized. The record is from RefSeq and is a predicted model, not a curated record. NCBI's taxonomy places the organism in Eukaryota, Metazoa, Chordata, Mammalia, Rodentia, Cricetidae. The transcript has 3 exons.